This 2486-nucleotide ribosomal RNA is filed under the name Microbacterium ginsengisoli. RNAcentral's name for it is "partial 23S ribosomal RNA". It matches the Rfam family "Bacterial large subunit ribosomal RNA", at positions 1 to 2617 of the family's 2925-position model. The record is from RNAcentral. Lineage: Bacteria; Bacillati; Actinomycetota; Actinomycetes; Micrococcales; Microbacteriaceae.
UUUCAAGUCUUUAAGAGCAAACGGUGGAUGCCUUGGCAUCUGGAGCCGAAGAAGGACGUAGCAAUCUGCGAUAAGCCUCGGGGAGUGGAUAAGCACACUUUGAUCCGAGGAUCUCCGAAUGGGGAAACCCCGCUGGGCGGNNNNNNNNNNNNNNNNNNNNNNNNNNNNNNNNNNNNNNNNNNNNNNNNNNNNNNNNNNNNNNNNNNAGUAUCCCAAGUAGCACGGGGCCCGAGAAAUCCCGUGUGAAUCUGUCAGGACCACCUGAUAAGCCUAAAUACUCCCAGAUGACCGAUAGCGGACAAGUACCGUGAGGGAAAGGUGAAAAGUACCCCGGGAGGGGAGUGAAAUAGUACCUGAAACCGUUUGCUUACAAACCGUUGGAGCAGCCCUAGCAGCUGUGACAGCGUGCCUUUUGAAGAAUGAGCCUGCGAGUUAGCGAUACGUGGCGAGGUUAACCCGUGAGGGGUAGCCGUAGCGAAAGCGAGUCUGAAUAGGGCGAUUCAGUCGCGUGUCCUAGACCCGAAGCGAAGUGAUCUAUCCAUGGCCAGGCUGAAGCGACGGUAAGACGUCGUGGAGGGCCGAACCCACUUAGGUUGAAAACUGAGGGGAUGAGCUGUGGAUAGGGGUGAAAGGCCAAUCAAACUUCGUGAUAGCUGGUUCUCUCCGAAAUGCAUUUAGGUGCAGCGUUGCGUGUUUCUUGCCGGAGGUAGAGCUACUGGAUGGCCGAUGGGCCCCACCAGGUUACUGACGUCAGCCAAACUCCGAAUGCCGGUAAGUGAGAGCGCAGCAGUGAGACUGUGGGGGAUAAGCUUCAUAGUCGAGAGGGAAACAACCCAGACCACCAACUAAGGUCCCAAAGCGCGUGCUAAGUGGGAAAGGAUGUGGAGUUGCUCAGACAACCAGGAGGUUGGCUUAGAAGCAGCCACCCUUGAAAGAGUGCGUAAUAGCUCACUGGUCAAGUGAUUCCGCGCCGACAAUGUAACGGGGCUCAAGCACGCCACCGAAGUUGUGGCAUUGACAUUAGUGGUAGGCCUUCGUGGUCCAGCCGUGUUGAUGGGUAGGAGAGCGUCGUGUCGCGAGUGAAGCGGCGGGGUAACCCAGCCGUGGACGCGACACGAGUGAGAAUGCAGGCAUGAGUAGCGAAAGACGUGUGAGAAACACGUCCUCCGAAAGACCAAGGGUUCCAGGGUCAAGCUAAUCUUCCCUGGGUAAGUCGGGACCUAAGGCGAGGCCGACAGGCGUAGUCGAUGGACAACGGGUUGAUAUUCCCGUACCGGCGAAGAACCGCCCGAGGCGGUGUGAGGGCUAGCGCAUGACCCCAUGCUGGUGCGGUUAGCGUAUUAACAGGUGUGACGCAGGAAGGUAGCCCAAGCCAGGCGAUGGUAGUCCUGGUGCAAGUGCGUAGGCUGAGUGAUAGGCAAAUCCGUCACUCGUUCGGCUGAGACACGAUGCGGAUAAAAAGUGGGUGAUCCUAUGCUGCCGAGAAAAGCAUCGACGCGAGGUUCAAGCCGCCCGUACCCCAAACCGACUCAGGUGGUCAGGUAGAGAAUACCAAGGAGAUCGAGAGAAUCGUGGUUAAGGAACUCGGCAAAAUGCCCCCGUAACUUCGGGAGAAGGGGGGCCUUCGACGUGAAAGCGUUUGGAGGCCGCAGAGACUAGUGGGUAGCGACUGUUUACUAAAAACACAGGUCCGUGCCAAGUCGCAAGACGAUGUAUACGGACUGACGCCUGCCCGGUGCUGGAAGGUUAAGAGGAAGGGUUAGCGUAAGCGAAGCUCAGAAUUUAAGCCCCAGUAAACGGCGGUGGUAACUAUAACCAUCCUAAGGUAGCGAAAUUCCUUGUCGGGUAAGUUCCGACCUGCACGAAUGGCGUAACGACUUCCCAACUGUCUCAACCGCGAACUCGGCGAAAUUGCAUUACGAGUAAAGAUGCUCGUUACGCGCAGCAGGACGGAAAGACCCCGUGACCUUUACUACAGCUUGGUAUUGGUGUUCGGUGUGGCUUGUGUAGGAUAGGUGGGAGACUUUGAAGCUUGGACGCCAGUUCAGGUGGAGUCAUUGUUGAAAUACCACUCUGGUCACUCUGGAUAUCUAACUUAGAACCGUAAUCCGGUUCAGGGACAGUGCCUGGUGGGUAGUUUAACUGGGGCGGUUGCCUCCCAAAAAGUAACGGAGGCGCCCAAAGGUUCCCUCAAUCUGGUUGGCAAUCAGAUGUCGAGUGUAAGUGCACAAGGGAGCUUGACUGUGAGACUGACAGGUCGAGCAGGGACGAAAGUCGGGACUAGUGAUCCGGCAGUGGCUUGUGGAAGCGCUGUCGCUCAACGGAUAAAAGGUACCUCGGGGAUAACAGGCUGAUCUUGCCCAAGAGUCCAUAUCGACGGCAUGGUUUGGCACCUCGAUGUCGGCUCGUCGCAUCCUGGGGCUGGAGUAGGUCCCAAGGGUUGGGCUGUUCGCCCAUUAAAGCGGUACGCGAGCUGGGUUUAGAAC